UAUUACAGACUGAACCUCUCAGUCACUCUUUGUUCUCCCUAUACUACACUAUACUAUGGGUUAUCGGCUUCAUCAUUAUAAUCCCAUUUAUUAUUAUAACCCUUUUCCUCGCCUCUUCUCUUUUCGCUACAAUUUCAGAGUGUGGUGUUGCAGCCAGAGUGGUAAAAAUCAGGCACAAAUGGAGCAAGUAGUUGUUAAUGGCUCUGAGUCACAUUUAGUUGUAGUGGAUAAUCCUAAUUUGUUGCAAAAGAAAAUAUCUGCAAUUCGCCUUGCCGGUCCUGCAAAGCUCCAGGUAAUUGCAGAUUUCGAUGCCACAUUGACAAAGUACUGGAUCAAUGGUUGUCGAGGCCAAAGCAGUCAUAAUCUUUUACAGCAGGAGGAUCCUGAGUACAAUGUCAAGAGGCAGACGUUAUAUGAUUAUUAUCAUCCCUUAGAAUUUGAUCCGGCUAUUCCCCUUGAUGAGAAAGCCAAGCUCAUGGUAGAGUGGUGGGAAAAAACACAUGCUCUUCUCAUUGAAGGAGGCCUUACAUACAAUGCAAUUCAAAAUUCCGUGGCUGAAGCCACAAUUGCAUUCCGAGAUGGUGUAACUGAACUUUUUGAACUUUUAGAGGAAAAAGGUGUCCCUGUACUUAUAUUCUCUGCAGGUUUAGCUGACAUAAUAGAGGAGGUGCUGAAGCAGAAAGUUCAUAGAUCUUUCAAGAACGUUAGAAUUGUCUCCAACAGGAUGGUGUUUGACGAAAAUGGUCGCCUACAGUCAUUUAAAGGUAAGACAAUCCAUGUACUAAACAAGAAUGAGCAUGCACUUGACAUGGCUGCACCACUUCACGAUCACUGCGAUGACCUGAAUGGACUGGGUGAUGAGAAAUCUUCAUUAAAGAAGAGAACUAAUGUGCUACUUCUUGGUGACCACAUUGGAGAUUUGGGAAUGUCAGACGGCUUGGACUAUGAAACAAGAAUAUCUGUGGGAUUUCUGGCAGGGGUAAGGCUGCAAUGUUGUUGUUGUUAAGAUCUCUUCAAAUUUGUCAAAUCAUUAACAGUAAGAUGAAAUGGGAACAUUUAGCCCAAGUCUCUAAAUGGAUAAAGCUGAAGUGAAGAACUUGCGACCACAAGAAAGACAUUGGUGAGCAUCAGUUCUCUCUGACACAUUUUUUUAUUCUCUGAAAUCUUGAAGAGUUAUAUUUAGAUGGUUGACAACUCCAUGUCCUAUGGUCGUUUUUCAAUGGUAAAGAAAGGAAUUACCCCGUUGCAUGAAGUGCAGCCUACUCUUAUGCAAGCAUUAGUGGCUGUUUCCACGGCUCGAACCCAUGACCUAUAGGUCACACGGAGACAUCUUUACCGUUGCUCCAGGCUCCCCUUCACUACUCAAUAAAAGCAUAUGCAGCUUGGGUCCAUACCAUAAGUUCCAAUAUUGGUUUCAACUUUCUUGAGGAUUAAACUCUUGACAGGCUAACCAACUUUUCUUCUCCUUAUUUCAAUCUGUGAUGUUGUAAUCAAGGGUGGAAGGGUACUUCAGCCUAAUUUAGGCUUCAAACCAUAUUUUAAUCUUUUCACAGGUCAACAAGCUUCCAAAUUAUACUAUUCACUAUUUUGGAAACAAGAGAAAAUUAUUAAUCUGUGGAUUUUGUAGAGUUCGUGAUUAUUAGGAGAUUUUUCACUGACUGCCUGCUGAAGUUCGAAUGGAUAUAUUUUCCCCCAGUCUUUGACCUAAUGGUUUGCCAAGAUAUUUUUGUACAGUUUUUGCGUUAAAAUCUUUUGUGACGUUGUUUCUUCUUUGUCACUCAAAGAAAAAGAAUAUAUAUAUAUAUUUUCAUUAGGGGCUUUUGGUUUGACAAUGCUUUUUAACAUAUUUGCAACUUCAUUUAGGGCAUGUGAUAGAAAGUGCACUGAACUGACCUCCAUGUCAUUAAGGAUGAGAAGGAGAAAUAAUUAACAAAUUGCAGACUUGUUUCAGCUAUACUUAACAUUGGGUUAACAAUACAGAUCCUCAAAAGUUUUAUCUUUUCUUGAUAAGAGCUUUCCAGUUUCCAUCUUCUAUGACAAUGCAAAUGGUGAAAAUCCCCUCUCUGUGCAUAGAGCUAAUAAAAAUGGUGCGGAACUCAAAGCAUAAUGAAGUUUGCUCAUAUUGAGUUUCACAAAGCAUGAGAACAAGACCAGAUUUAAAGCUGUGUGACAUUUUAGUCAUGUUGAUUUAAUGUCUACUUGCCCUGCUCUUAUCUUAGACCAAGUUGCAUAUGUGCUAUAGUUGCUAAACUUACACGAGAUUGUUGCAGGAAUGACAAAGUGGAAAGCUCUCUAGAAAGCUACCGAAAAGCUUUUGACAUUCUCUAUCUGAAUGAUUCAUCAAUGCACGGAGUAGUCAAGCUCGCGUCUCAUCUCUGUUC
Non-coding RNA from Nicotiana tabacum (common tobacco), 2381 nucleotides. The record is from RefSeq and is a predicted model, not a curated record. Lineage: Eukaryota; Viridiplantae; Streptophyta; Magnoliopsida; Solanales; Solanaceae.